This 497-nucleotide ribosomal RNA is filed under the name uncultured bacterium. RNAcentral describes it as "partial 16S ribosomal RNA". It matches the Rfam family "Bacterial small subunit ribosomal RNA", at positions 28 to 507 of the family's 1533-position model. The record is from RNAcentral.
GAUGAACGCUGGCGGCGUGCCUAAUACAUGCAAGUCGAGCGAACGGACGAGAAGCUUGCUUCUCUGAUGUUAGCGGCGGACGGGUGAGUAACACGUGGAUAACCUACCUAUAAGACUGGGAUAACUUCGGGAAACCGUAGCUAAUACCGGAUAAUAUUUUGAACCGCAUGGUUCAAAAGUGAAAGACGGUCUUGCUGUCACUUAUAGAUGGAUCCGCGCUGCAUUAGCUAGUUGGUAAGGUAACGGCUUACCAAGGCAACGAUGCAUAGCCGACCUGAGAGGGUGAUCGGCCACACUGGAACUGAGACACGGUCCAGACUCCUACGGUAGGCAGCAGUAGGGAAUCUUCCGCAAUGGGCGAAAGCCUGACGGAGCAACGCCGCGUGAGUGAUGAAGGUCUUCGGAUCGUAAAACUCUGUUAUUAGGGAAGAACAUAUGUGUAAGUAACUGUGCACAUCUUGACGGUACCUAAUCAGAAAGCCACGGCUAACUACGUG